AAGUCGUAACAAGGUCUCCGUAGGUGAACCUGCGGAAGGAUCAUUAACGAAUAACUAUGGCGUUGGUUGUAGCUGGCUCCUCGGAGCAAUGUGCACGCCCGCCAUUUUUAUCUUUCCACCUGUGCACCGACUGUAGGUCUGGAUACCUCUCGCCUCCGGGCGGAUGCGAGGGUUGCUCGUAAGGGCUUCCCUUGAACUUCCAGGCUCUACGUCUUUUUACACACCCCAAUAGUAUGAUGCAGAAUGUAGUCAAUGGGCUUCUCAGCCUAUAAAACACUAUACAACUUUCAGCAACGGAUCUCUUGGCUCUC
RNAcentral lists this unclassified non-coding RNA (311 nucleotides) under Coprinellus xanthothrix. Its description in RNAcentral is "partial internal transcribed spacer region". The stretch from base 1 to 46 matches the Rfam family "Eukaryotic small subunit ribosomal RNA", at positions 1786 to 1831 of the family's 1831-position model. The record is from RNAcentral. Lineage: Eukaryota; Fungi; Basidiomycota; Agaricomycetes; Agaricales; Psathyrellaceae.